Molecule: transfer RNA, 83 nt
Filed under: Candidatus Tokpelaia sp. JSC188
Lineage: Bacteria; Pseudomonadati; Pseudomonadota; Alphaproteobacteria; Hyphomicrobiales
Description: tRNA-Leu
Rfam family: tRNA
About the family: Transfer RNA (tRNA) molecules are approximately 80 nucleotides in length. Their secondary structure includes four short double-helical elements and three loops (D, anti-codon, and T loops). Further hydrogen bonds mediate the characteristic L-shaped molecular structure. tRNAs have two regions of fundamental functional importance: the anti-codon, which is responsible for specific mRNA codon recognition, and the 3' end, to which the tRNAs corresponding amino acid is attached (by aminoacyl-tRNA synthetases). tRNAs cope with the degeneracy of the genetic code in two manners: having more than one tRNA (with a specific anti-codon) for a particular amino acid; and 'wobble' base-pairing, i.e. permitting non-standard base-pairing at the 3rd anti-codon position.
Source: RNAcentral
GCGGAUGUGGCGAAAUUGGUAGACGCACCAGAUUUAGGUUCUGGCGGGGAACCAUGGGGGUUCGAGUCCCUCCAUCCGCACCA